CCUACGGGUGGCAGCAGUGGGGAAUAUUGCGCAAUGGGCGAAAGCCUGACGCAGCGACGCCGCGUGAGGGAUGAAGGUCUUCGGAUCGUAAACCUCUGUUAGCAGGGAAGAACGGUCACUGUGCUAAUCAGCAGUGAAUUGACGGUACCUGAAAAGGAAGCACCGGCUAACUCCGGUCAAGCAGACGCGGUAAUACGGAGGGUGCGAGCGUUAGUCGGAAUUACUGGGCGUAAAGCGCUCGUAGGCGGUAUGUCAAGUCAAGGGGUAAAUCCCCGCGCUCAACGUGGGAAGUGCCUUUGAAACUGGCAAACUUGAGUGUGUGAGAGGAUAGUGGAAUUCCAGGUGU
RNAcentral lists this ribosomal RNA (346 nucleotides) under uncultured bacterium. RNAcentral describes it as "partial 16S ribosomal RNA". It matches the Rfam family "Bacterial small subunit ribosomal RNA", at positions 338 to 676 of the family's 1533-position model. The record is from RNAcentral.